RNAcentral lists this ribosomal RNA (497 nucleotides) under uncultured Sphingobacteriales bacterium. RNAcentral's name for it is "bacterial SSU rRNA". It matches the Rfam family "Bacterial small subunit ribosomal RNA", at positions 903 to 1382 of the family's 1533-position model. The record is from RNAcentral. Lineage: Bacteria; Pseudomonadati; Bacteroidota; Sphingobacteriia; Sphingobacteriales.
GCCAGCCCGCUCAGAAACUUAAAGGAAUUGACGGGGCCCGCACAAGCGGAGGAGCAUGUGGUUUAAUUCGAUGAUACGCGAGGAACCUUACCUGGGCUCGAACGUAAGAUGACUGUAGGUGAAAGCUUACAUCUCUUCGGAGCAUUUUACGAGGUGCUGCAUGGUUGUCGUCAGCUCGUGCCGUGAGGUGUCGGGUUAAGUCCCAUAACGAGCGCAACCCUACCUUUAGUUGCCAUCAGGUAAUGCUGGGGACUCUAAAGGAACUGCCUACGCAAGUAGUGAGGAAGGCGGGGAUGACGUCAAAUCAGCACGGCCCUUACAUCCAGGGCUACACACGUGCUACAAUGGCCGAUACAGAGGGCAGCUACCUGGUGACAGGAUGCAAAUCUCCAAAGUCGGUCUCAGUUCGGAUCGGAGUCUGCAACCCGACUCCGUGAAGUUGGAUUCGCUAGUAAUCGCGCAUCAGCCAUGGCGCGGUGAAUACGUUCCCGGGCCUU